RNAcentral lists this ribosomal RNA (324 nucleotides) under uncultured eukaryote. RNAcentral's name for it is "partial 18S ribosomal RNA". It matches the Rfam family "Eukaryotic small subunit ribosomal RNA", at positions 1470 to 1796 of the family's 1831-position model. The record is from RNAcentral.
CCCUUAGAUGUUCUGGGCAGCACGCGCGCUACAAUGGUCUUCGCAAACGGAUGCAUUCUCGAAGGAGAAUGCCAAUCUUGGAAUCUAUGCCUUGGUCGGGACAGUUGCUUGCAAUUUUUCGACUCGAACCAGGAAUUCCUUGUAAUCGUGAUUCAUCACAUCACGAUGAAUACGUCCCUGCCCUUUGUACACACCGCCCGUCGCUCCUACCGAUUGAAUGAUCCGAUGAAUACCAUGGAUUGAGAGUACGAAUGGGUUCGCCUAUUUCUGCUUCUCGAGAAGUGGAGUAAAUCUUAUCAUUUAGAGGAAGGAGAAGUCGUAACA